GUCUUCUGAAGAUGUAGCAGUUGUUAAGUGAAUAUUGUGCUUUGUGAUUUGAGGAUACACUUCACUGAGCACAUACAGAAAUAUACCUGGCCAAUGAGAUGAAGUUGUACCACUUCCAUCAGUCCCGACAUUUGUCAAAGAAGUGCAGUUUAUAAAUGACCAAGUGGAUGAAGCAGCCACACUCUCACCGGUCCAGAUAUUCCUCAAAGAAGAGGAAGGUGUAAGUAUUCAUGAAAUACUGACUGUCAGUUACACACUGAAGUAAUGAGAUAACUGUUAAUUGUAUUUCAUUUACCAGUAGUA
Molecule: long non-coding RNA, 303 nt
Organism: Schistocerca nitens (vagrant locust)
Lineage: Eukaryota; Metazoa; Arthropoda; Insecta; Orthoptera; Acrididae
Exons: 3
Source: RefSeq, a predicted model, not a curated record